RNAcentral lists this ribosomal RNA (439 nucleotides) under uncultured bacterium. Its description in RNAcentral is "partial 16S ribosomal RNA". It matches the Rfam family "Bacterial small subunit ribosomal RNA", at positions 339 to 795 of the family's 1533-position model. The record is from RNAcentral.
CUACGGGUCGCUGCCGUGAGGAAUAUUGCACAAUGGGGGGAACCCUGAUGCAGCAACGCCGCGUGGAGGAUGACGCAUUUCGGUGUGUAAACUCCUUUUAUAUGUCAAGAAAAUGACGGUAGCAUAUGAAUAAGCACCGGCUAACUCCGUGCCAGCAGCCGCGGUAAUACGGAGGGUGCAAGCGUUACUCGGAAUCACUGGGCGUAAAGGACGCGUAGGCGGGUUGGAAAGUCAGGUGUGAAAUCCUACAGCUUAACUGUAGAACUGCACUUGAAACUUCUAAUCUAGAGUAUGGGAGGGGGAGAUGGAAUUAGUGGUGUAGGGGUAAAAUCCGUAGAUAUCACUAGGAAUACCUAAAGCGAAGGCGAUCUCCUGGAACAUUACUGACGCUAAGGCGUGAGAGCGUGGGGAGCAAACAGGAUUAGAUACCCCUGUAGUC